This 481-nucleotide ribosomal RNA is filed under the name uncultured bacterium. RNAcentral's name for it is "bacterial SSU rRNA". It matches the Rfam family "Bacterial small subunit ribosomal RNA", at positions 28 to 523 of the family's 1533-position model. The record is from RNAcentral.
GACGAACGCUGGCGGGGGUGCGUGAGACAUGCAAGUCGAACGAGGUGCCAACGAGCUUGCUCGAUGGUUACCGAGUGGCGGACGGCUGAGUAACGCGUAGGUGACCUGCCCGGAAGUGGGGAAUAACUGCCCGAAAGGGUGGCUAAUAUCGCAUGUGGUCGACGAUUCAAUUCGUCGUCUAAAGGAGUAAUCCGCCUCCGGAGGGGCCUGCGUCCGAUUAGCUAGUUGGUGGGGUAACGGCNCACCAAGGCGACGAUCGGUAGCUGGUCUGAGAGGAUGAUCAGCCAGACUGGGACUGAGAACGGCCCAGACUCCUACGGGAGGCAGCAGUCGGGAAUUUUGCCCAAUGGACGAAAGUCUGAGGCAGCAACUCCGCGUGAGGGAUGAAGGCUCUAGGGUCGUAAACCUCUUUUCUCAGGGAAGAUCCAAGACGGUACCUGAGGAAUAAGCCACGCUAACUACGUGCCAGCCGCCGCCGUAU